CCUACGGGAGGCAGCAGUAAGGAAUAUUGGUCAAUGGACGAAAGUCUGAACCAGCCAUGCCGCGUGAAGGAUUAAGGCCCUCUGGGUUGUAAACUUCUUUUAUCUGGGACGAAAAAAGGGUAUUCUUACUCACUUGACGGUACCAGAGGAAUAAGCACCGGCUAACUCCGUGCCAGCAGCCGCGGUAGUACGGAGGGUGCAAGCGUUAUCCGGAUUUACUAGGUUUAAAGGGUGCGUAGGUGGGCUUGUAAGUCAGUGGUGAAAUCUCCGGGCUUAACCCGGAAACUGCCAUUGAUACUAUAGGUCUUGAAUUAUCUGGAGGUAAGCGGAAUAUGUCAUGUAGCGGUGAAAUGCUUAGAUAUGACAUAGAACACCAAUUGCGAAGGCAGCUUACUACGGAUACAUUGACACUGAGGCACGAAAGCGUGGGGAUCAAACAGGAUUAGAUACCCUGGUAGUCCACGCCCUAAACGAUGGAUACUCGACAUCAGCGAUACACUGUUGGUGUCUGAGCGAAAGCAUUAAGUAUCCCACCUGGGAAGUACGAUCGCAGAUUGAAACUCAAAUGAAUUGACGGCUGAGACGAGCGACGACGACGACGAGGGAGGAGG
This 611-nucleotide ribosomal RNA is filed under the name uncultured bacterium. RNAcentral describes it as "bacterial SSU rRNA". It matches the Rfam family "Bacterial small subunit ribosomal RNA", at positions 338 to 953 of the family's 1533-position model. The record is from RNAcentral.